Molecule: long non-coding RNA, 1044 nt
Organism: Brassica oleracea var. oleracea
Lineage: Eukaryota; Viridiplantae; Streptophyta; Magnoliopsida; Brassicales; Brassicaceae
Exons: 2
Source: RefSeq, a predicted model, not a curated record
UUUCUUGUAUUUCUCUCUUUCUCCUCUUUCUCUCUUUGGCGUCUCUUUCUCUCUUUCUAUUUUUCUGGUAAAUCAAUUCUUUUAUACAGAUCUCAAACCUUAAUUCUCUCUUCUUCAUCAUGUUUGAUUUCGUGGGUAUUAUCUCAAUUUAGGGAUUUUGAUGUUCUGAUUUGGGAAUUUAGGUUUCUUCAAUUUCGUGGUCCUGUGAUUGCUCUUACAGUAAAUUGGUCUUGUGAGGAAUCCUGCCUGUCGACUGUUUUCGGUUUGGUGAUGAGGUACUUGAGGAGGGAACAGCUGAGUCUGCGUUCGCUAGCUUUCUUCUUAUCUCAACCUAUCAACGACGUGUUUGCAGAUCAUUGCGUGAGGUUUAUUAAGAUAAUUAACUAAGUUAAUAGCAUGUUGAUAUAAAGUUAGGAUCUUUAGUGUUUAUGUUGGUAGUGUUGAUACUUCUUAUGUGGAAGAAGAACCAUUACUACCUUUUUAUACUCUCUCAGAAGAAUACUUUGUAGAAUCACACUUGAGAAAGUCUUUAAACUCAAACGAGAGUUCUUUGAAUUCUUCAGAGGUUCCUAGGCUAGCUUAUCUGAUCUCAGGUACUAAAGGAGAUAGCCGCAGGAUGAUGAGGACUUUGCAAGCUGUGUACCAUCCAAGAAACCAAUAUGUUCUCCAUUUAGACCUCGAAGCUCCACCUAAGGAGAGGCUGGAGCUUGCAAUGUCUGUGAAGAGUGAUCCUACUUUCCGUGAAGUUGCAAACGUCCGUGUUAUGUCACAGUCUAAUCUCGUUACCUAUAAAGGCCCUACAAUGAUCGCUUGUACGCUUCAAGCUGUGGCGGUUUUGCUUAAGGAGAGCUUGGAUUGGGAUUGGUUCAUCAACCUUAGUGCAUCAGAAUAUUAGACUAUCCUCUCCUGACACAAGAUGAUUUGUUGUAUGUCUUCUCCAACUUGUCUCUGAAUGUUAACUUCAUUGAACAUAUGAAGCGCACCGAAAUGUUAAAUUCAUGAUAUAAAUUUGUAUUUCUAUUUUUCAUAUGUUUUUAUGUCAUA